RNAcentral lists this long non-coding RNA (4403 nucleotides) under Capsicum annuum. Its description in RNAcentral is "long non-coding RNA (CANN_LNC009291)". Lineage: Eukaryota; Viridiplantae; Streptophyta; Magnoliopsida; Solanales; Solanaceae. The record is from RNAcentral.
GACAAUAGAAAUAAUGUUCAAACUGUUUCGAAAAAAAUAGUAAAAAAACAAAGAAAAAGAUAAAUAUAGAAGAAUCAAGGCCACCAAAUUUACAUUGUAGCUUAAAGUAAUUAUUCCCCUCAAGUAUUCGAGGUUAAUGAAAUACAUCCUCCUAGAAUGAUUCACUUUACUAGAAUAGUGAUACUUCAAAUUCGCUGAACUUCAAACUCGCUCAAUGAUAGUAAAUCACACAAGAAAAGUUUAAAAGUGCAAAAAGAAAAAAGAUAGAAAUUCAGAAAAUUCGUAUAGAAAAUAUGAGGAUUCAACAGGUAUAUAUAGCCAUCAGGGUGUUGCUUCAAAAGAGAAGCAAUGGUUCAAAAAAAAAAAAUGCAUCUCUUCAUAGAGGUGCAACUCCUUAAAACAAAUAAAAAUACAAAUCUUCAAAAAAGUCACAACUGAUUGAAAAAAUCGUAACUAUCCAAAGUAAAAAAGUAUCUAUUCUAAAUACAUCUUUUCUCUUGAUAUUUUAUCGAAAAAACUCAUAUUCACUUUCCAUUCACACCUCUUAAAUAUCUAAUAAUGUCUUUAUAAUUAUUCUUCUUUGUUGGCUAGUUAGAAUUUAGAUCAAUCCCUAUUAUAUUUUGCUUUUGGUGAACAAAUCUUUAUCAUCUAUACAUUUUCCAUCACCUUUAACCUCAUUACUAAAAGAACUAUUAUAUCAAAAUUCAAGGUCCACGUCUUCAUUCAUUUAUAAUAACUAGUUUAGGUGUACGCGCUUCGCCUCAUUUUAUUGAGUUCAAACGUUACACUAAAUAGGAUAUUUAUUUAAAUAAUAAAGAUGAAUACGAUAAUUAAAUUCAACAUCUUUUGGAGAAUUUAUUUAAUUAAACCUAACUUUUACCAAAGAAAAUUCUCAAAGCCGAUCGACAUUCAUUUACUACCUAUAAACUGUAACAAAACAAUAUGAUGAUAGAGACAUCAAAACAAUAUAUUAAAUCUAACUUUUACACAAAAAUUUUCUCAAAGUCGUCUGACACUCAUCUAGCACCUGUAAACUGUACAAAAUAAUAAGACAAUAGAGAUAUCAAAAUAAUACAACUAAUUUUAUCUUUACUCAAAAAGAAUUCUCAAAACAGAGAUAUAAAAAUAAUACAAUUAAACCUAACCUUUACCUAAAAUAAUUUCUUAAAGUCAACCGACAUUUUUUUUUAAAUUAAAAGAGUCGACCGACAUUCAUCUACCACCUGUAAAUUACCUGUAAACUUCAACAAAAUAAUACAACAAUGAUCACGAAGCUUCAGUUUUAAUGAAAAUAAUUCUUGUCUGAGCAAAAAUUUUGACACUAAAGAAUGAGUUGAAUGAAAAUAAAGAAGACAUAUAUAUACACACACGUUGAAUUCUAUUAUAUUGACAAAAAUAGUGAAGAAGUUGACGGUUAGAAAAUUAAGCAUCCAUCAAUCUAGACAUGCAACUGAAUCAAGUUAGAUGAGCAUCAAUCAUAUUUUCACAAUAAGUAAAUCAGUUUUUUCUCUAGUUUAACGUUCAUCUCAAUAUUUAUAGAAUUAUUUUCUUAAUAGAGUCCUAUUUUAUGAGUAUUUAUCUAUCCUAUUUUAGGAGUAUUUCUCUAAUGAAAAUAUUAAUUGAUUCUCCUUCCAUAUGUUUUAAGAAUCCUAUUUUAGGAGUUUAGUUAAUAUAAUAAAAAUAAUUAAAUAAUAAAUUGAAGAAAAUAGUGAAAAGAUAGUUUUGUCUAAAGGAGGGUCUUUUAAUGAAGGACCUUUUAAUAUAUUAUAUAGAUUAUAGAUAUAGAUAUAGAUUAUAGAUAUAGAUUAUAGAUAUAGAUAUAGAUUAUUAAUAUUAAUAAUUAUUAUUAUAUACUAUAUUAUAUUAAACGUUAGGAUAUUUGUUUAAAUAAUAAAGAUGAAUACGAUAAAUAAAUUCAACAGUUUUUGGAGAGUUUAAUUAAUUAAACCUAACUUUUACAAAAAAAAAAUAAUUCUCAAAGCCGAUCGACAUUCAUCUCCAACCUGUAAACUGCAACAAAAUAAUACGAUGAUAGAGAUAUAAAAACAAUAUAAUUAAAUCUAACCUUACACAAAAAUUUUCUCAAAGCCGUCUGACACUCAUCUACCACCUGUAAACUAUAACAAAAUAAUAAGACAAUAUAUCAAAAUAAUACAACUAAACUCUACCUUUACACAAAAAAAAAAUUCUCAAAACAGAGAUAUAAAAAUAAUACAAUUAAGCCUAACCUUUACCCAAAAAAAAAUUCAAAGCCGACCGACAUUCAUCUACCACCACCUGUAAAUUAUCUACGACAUGUAAACUAUAACAAAUUAAUACAAUAGUGAUCACAAAACUUCAGUUUUGAUGAAAUAAUUCUUGUCUGAGCGAAAAUUUUGACACUAAAGAAUGAUUUAAAUGAAAACAAAAAAGAUAUAUAUAUAUACACACACACGUUGAAUUCCAUUAUGUUGACAAAAAUAGUGAAGAAGUUGAGGGUUAGAAAAUUAAACAUCCAUCAAUCUAGACAUGCAACCGAAUCAAGUUAGAUGAGCAUGAGUCAUGUUUUCCCAAUAAGUAAAUCAGUUUCUUCUCUAAUUUAACGUGCAUCUUAAUAUUUAUAGAAGUAGUUUCUUAAUAGAGUCCUAUUUUAGGAGUAUUUUUCUAUCCUAUUUUAGGAAUAUUUUUCUAAUUGAUCAGUACAAAAAAAAUAGUAAUUGAUUCUAUUUCUAUAUUUUUUAGGAGUGUAAUUAAUAUAAUACUACUAAACUUUACCAAAGAUAUUUUUCAACUGCCUUAGUCUUGUUCAUAAAAGAGCAAUUUGACAAAAAUCCAAGGUCUAUCUAUAUGUUCAUUCAGUACUUAUGACUUAUAAUAAUAUGGGAAAAAGUAUCGUUUCCACCUUAAACUAUAUCCGAAAAGUCUAAGUCAUACCUAAACUAUACUAGUGACCUAUUACACAUCUUAACUAUAAAAAAGUGAUAUUAUUACCUCCCCGCAACCCCCAUUCUAAGGCGCGUGUGUUACACUUAUUUUAGGCGCGUCCAACCUAUUAAAUAACAAAAGUAAACGGCUAAAAACAUUAAGGGAAAAGUCAUCGUUUCCACCCCAAACUAUAGUCGAAAAUUCGAAUCCACACCUAAACUAUAUAAGUGACCUAUUACACACCUUAACUAUAAAAAAGUGAUACUUUUUACUGACGUGCUACCGACGUGGCAGCGCAUGUAAAACACUACACCACAUGCAAGUGGUGGUAGCCUGACAGGGUGUAAAUAGUUUCACUUUUUUAUAGUUUAGGUGUGUAAUAGGUCACUAGUAUAGUUUAGGUGUGGCUUCGACUUUUCGGAUAUAGUUUUGGGGUGGAAACUAUGUCUUUUCCCUAAUAAUAUUGUUCAAAACCUAGACAUGUCUUAGCUAGGUUUAGUUUUUUGUUUAUAUUAAUUGAAGUAAUUUAAUGUGUCUUUGUUAGCCUCCUUUGUUGGUUAACUAAAUCAAAAUUCUCUAUUAUACUUUUCUUAAUUUUGAUAUAUAUGUGUAAGUCUUUAUUUUCUAUAUAUUUUCCACCGUCCUAAUUUAUCUUGUUGUUCCUAAAAGAGCUAUAUAUAUAUAUAUGAUAAAAAUCCAAGGUUCAUCUUCAUUGGCCAAUAAAAAUUAUUGGUAAAAACCAAGCAAUGCAAGUGGUUGCGUCAAUUGCAUUACUACUACCUUCUGCUUUUUAACAUCUUUAGACGUAUUUAAACUACUAAUUCAAAAAAGCUGCCUUACUAUAAGUUUAGCCAAUAAUUAACGGGCGUACGUCAUGCACCUAUGUAUAUAUAGUUAAUAAUUUUAAUAGUCAUGCAUAUAUAACAGACCAAAACUUACCAACUUGAGUUGCAAUACGAUGGUGGGGAUCCUUUCCAUUCUUUAUGAACACAAAUAAUUACCAUGUAUCGUUGUGUGUAAGGAUCAUUUGAAGUUAAUUACCUAAAUAAUUACUUAACUAUCCAAAUGUUGAUAAUUUAGAGGAAAAAAUAGAUAUUUGGGUGAUUGAAUGACCUUCUGACUAGUUAAGUAAUGGCUUCAAAUCUUUUGUUACUCGAAUUUGAAGAAAAUCAUUAAUGAGCUGAUAUAAUUAAGUUUAUAUUUUCCUUCACAUAUGUUUUAUUAAUUAAUUCAAACAUAAUUUACAAACUUGGGAGAAAAUUACAAAGACCUAUGUAACUACUACUUACAUGUCUUAAGGAAGAAGUGAGGCCCUUUCGGGGGUCCCCUGAAGACUUGACAGAUACCGAAAAAUGAAGAAUUAAGAAAACUUUUCACACUUUUCAUACACUUUUUUUUUUAAGUAACUUGCAAACUUUGGAAACUAAGAACUUUAAGAAAAGCUAAGAACUUUAUGAAAACUUUCUCACUCUUGGUUUUUUCUCUCUCUUUGGUACACC